AUAAAGCAAGGCACUGAAAAUGCCUAGAUGAGUGUACUGACUCCAUAAACA
RNAcentral lists this transfer RNA (51 nucleotides) under Megaloceros giganteus (Irish elk). Its description in RNAcentral is "tRNA-Phe". Lineage: Eukaryota; Metazoa; Chordata; Mammalia; Artiodactyla; Cervidae. The record is from RNAcentral.